This 445-nucleotide ribosomal RNA is filed under the name uncultured bacterium. RNAcentral describes it as "bacterial SSU rRNA". It matches the Rfam family "Bacterial small subunit ribosomal RNA", at positions 338 to 795 of the family's 1533-position model. The record is from RNAcentral.
CCUACGGGAGGCAGCAGUGGGGAAUAUUGCACAAUGGGCGCAAGCCUGAUGCAGCGACGCCGCGUGAGGGAUGACGGCCUUCGGGUUGUAAACCUCUUUCAGUAGGGACGAAGCGGAAGUGACGGUACCUACAGAAGAAGCACCGGCCAACUACGUGCCAGCAGCCGCGGUAAUACGUAGGGUGCGAGCGUUGUCCGGAAUUACUGGGCGUAAAGAGCUCGUAGGUGGUUUGUCGCGUUGUUCGUGAAAACCUGAGGCUUAACCUUGGGCGUGCGGGCGAUACGGGCAGACUGGAGUACUGCAGGGGAGACUGGAAUUCCUGGUGUAGCGGUGGAAUGCGCAGAUAUCAGGAGGAACACCGGUGGCGAAGGCGGGUCUCUGGGCAGUAACUGACGCUGAGGAGCGAAAGCGUGGGGAGCGAACAGGAUUAGAUACCCGUGUAGUC